This 465-nucleotide ribosomal RNA is filed under the name uncultured bacterium. Its description in RNAcentral is "partial 16S ribosomal RNA". It matches the Rfam family "Bacterial small subunit ribosomal RNA", at positions 28 to 507 of the family's 1533-position model. The record is from RNAcentral.
GACGAACGCUGGCGGCGUGCUUAACACAUGCAAGUCGAACGGAAAGGCCCUGCUUGCCGGGUACUCGAGUGGCGAACGGGUGAGUAACACGUGGGUGAUCUGCCCUGCACUUCGGGAUAAGCCUGGGAAACUGGGUCUAAUACCGGAUAGGAGCCAUUUUUAGUGUGAUGGUUGGAAAGUUUUUUCGGUGUAGGAUGAGCUCGCGGCCUAUCAGCUUGUUGGUGGGGUAAUGGCCUACCAAGGCGGCGACGGGUAGCCGGCCUGAGAGGGUGGACGGCCACAUUGGGACUGAGAUACGGCCCAGACUCCUACGGGAGGCAGCAGUGGGGAAUAUUGCACAAUGGGCGCAAGCCUGAUGCAGCGACGCCGCGUGGGGGAUGACGGCCUUCGGGUUGUAAACCCCUUUCGCUAGGGACGAAGCUUUUUGUGACGGUACCUAGAUAAGAAGCACCGGCUAACUACGUG